This 1085-nucleotide ribosomal RNA is filed under the name Bacillus altitudinis. Its description in RNAcentral is "bacterial SSU rRNA". It matches the Rfam family "Bacterial small subunit ribosomal RNA", at positions 105 to 1177 of the family's 1533-position model. The record is from RNAcentral. Lineage: Bacteria; Bacillati; Bacillota; Bacilli; Caryophanales; Bacillaceae.
GGUGAGUAACACGUGGGUAACCUGCCUGUAAGACUGGGAUAACUCCGGGAAACCGGAGCUAAUACCGGAUAGUUCCUUGAACCGCAUGGUUCAAGGAUGAAAGACGGUUUCGGCUGUCACUUACAGAUGGACCCGCGGCGCAUUAGCUAGUUGGUGAGGUAACGGCUCACCAAGGCGACGAUGCGUAGCCGACCUGAGAGGGUGAUCGGCCACACUGGGACUGAGACACGGCCCAGACUCCUACGGGAGGCAGCAGUAGGGAAUCUUCCGCAAUGGACGAAAGUCUGACGGAGCAACGCCGCGUGAGUGAUGAAGGUUUUCGGAUCGUAAAGCUCUGUUGUUAGGGAAGAACAAGUGCAAGAGUAACUGCUUGCACCUUGACGGUACCUAACCAGAAAGCCACGGCUAACUACGUGCCAGCAGCCGCGGUAAUACGUAGGUGGCAAGCGUUGUCCGGAAUUAUUGGGCGUAAAGGGCUCGCAGGCGGUUUCUUAAGUCUGAUGUGAAAGCCCCCGGCUCAACCGGGGAGGGUCAUUGGAAACUGGGAAACUUGAGUGCAGAAGAGGAGAGUGGAAUUCCACGUGUAGCGGUGAAAUGCGUAGAGAUGUGGAGGAACACCAGUGGCGAAGGCGACUCUCUGGUCUGUAACUGACGCUGAGGAGCGAAAGCGUGGGGAGCGAACAGGAUUAGAUACCCUGGUAGUCCACGCCGUAAACGAUGAGUGCUAAGUGUUAGGGGGUUUCCGCCCCUUAGUGCUGCAGCUAACGCAUUAAGCACUCCGCCUGGGGAGUACGGUCGCAAGACUGAAACUCAAAGGAAUUGACGGGGGCCCGCACAAGCGGUGGAGCAUGUGGUUUAAUUCGAAGCAACGCGAAGAACCUUACCAGGUCUUGACAUCCUCUGACAACCCUAGAGAUAGGGCUUUCCCUUCGGGGACAGAGUGACAGGUGGUGCAUGGUUGUCGUCAGCUCGUGUCGUGAGAUGUUGGGUUAAGUCCCGCAACGAGCGCAACCCUUGAUCUUAGUUGCCAGCAUUCAGUUGGGCACUCUAAGGUGACUGCCGGUGACAAACCGGAGGAAGGUGGG